This 253-nucleotide ribosomal RNA is filed under the name uncultured bacterium. Its description in RNAcentral is "partial 16S ribosomal RNA". It matches the Rfam family "Bacterial small subunit ribosomal RNA", at positions 524 to 776 of the family's 1533-position model. The record is from RNAcentral.
UACGAAGGGGGCUAGCGUUGCUCGGAAUUACUGGGCGUAAAGCGCACGUAGGCGGCUUCUUAAGUCGGUGGUGAAAUCCUGGAGCUCAACUCCAGAACUGCCUUCGAUACUGAGAAGCUCGAGUCCGGGAGAGGUGAGUGGAACUGCGAGUGUAGAGGUGAAAUUCGUAGAUAUUCGCAAGAACACCAGUGGCGAAGGCGGCUCACUGGCCCGGUACUGACGCUGAGACGCGAAAGCGUGGGGAGCAAACAGG